Molecule: transfer RNA, 77 nt
Filed under: Candidatus Shapirobacteria bacterium CG_4_10_14_0_2_um_filter_40_12
Lineage: Bacteria; Candidatus Shapironibacteriota
Also listed under: 2 other names
Description: tRNA-Asp
Rfam family: tRNA
About the family: Transfer RNA (tRNA) molecules are approximately 80 nucleotides in length. Their secondary structure includes four short double-helical elements and three loops (D, anti-codon, and T loops). Further hydrogen bonds mediate the characteristic L-shaped molecular structure. tRNAs have two regions of fundamental functional importance: the anti-codon, which is responsible for specific mRNA codon recognition, and the 3' end, to which the tRNAs corresponding amino acid is attached (by aminoacyl-tRNA synthetases). tRNAs cope with the degeneracy of the genetic code in two manners: having more than one tRNA (with a specific anti-codon) for a particular amino acid; and 'wobble' base-pairing, i.e. permitting non-standard base-pairing at the 3rd anti-codon position.
Source: RNAcentral
GGGCUCGUGGUGCAGCGGUCUAGCACAUCCGCCUGUCACGCGGAAGAUCGUGGGUUCAAAUCCCAUCGGGCCCGCAA